AGUUGGAAUACCUAUUGUAAAAUCCUUGAAUGGCUGAAUGCUAGUAUGCCGAAUUUUAUUGUGCAUCCAACCUAGUAACUGCAAAAAUGAAAUAUUCAGAUGAAGUUGAAUGAUCAUUAACAUCUACGUUAUUAUAAAUUUGGUAGAGUGUGGAGUAUGGACUCACCCUCAUUUUGAUCUUUCUCUUGAGGGUUUGAUGUUAGAUUGCCUUGGUUGUCACAAGGGCUAUUCGGAGAUAGAUUUAGAUAUGCAAGGGAACAGGCUUAAAAAGAAGAUAUUAGGAUCACCAAAGAGCAUAAGAAUGAGGAUCUUUUAAUCAUUGAUUGUUCAAUGAAUUGGAAGUCAGUGGGUGCUAGAAGGGUCUGAUUUGGCUACAGUUGGAGAGAAACAUUUAGAUAGAAACAAGCUUUUAGUUGGCUGUUCUUUGUCAAGAUCAAAUCAAGUAUAAGAAUUGGGGAGCAUUUAGGAGAUCUCAAGUAGUCAAGUCGGGGUGAAAUAUUUGCCAUGCAUUCUUGAGAUGGUUGUACAGAUACAUUAAUGGAUGCACAUUAACUGUUGAUCAAAAUAGGUGCAAUUUGUUGUCACAUUGCAUCUAUUAUGUUGCCAUAUAUUAUUUAAUAUGUGCAUCUUGAUGCACAUGAACAGAUUUUUGUUUGUUGAUGAACAUACAGUAAGUGAGAAGGGACAUAUGAACACAAUAAAAUCUUCAUAAAAAUUUACUCUAUAAAGAAAUAUUUUGUAUCAUGUCUAUUUUAUUAGGUAAUUUGUGAGAUGAAGAAGGGCGCCUUUGCUUGUAGGACCAAAGAAAAAUGUUGUGGGACAGAAGUGAUUGCAUUAUAAUUGAUAUGGGUCAAUGAGUGCUUACGUUAUAAUUUAUAUUCAACAUGGACCCCUGAGGGAAAGGAUGAAUUCUCUUAGCUCCUUAGCAAAUGCUUCUGGUGAGAUAUUUCUAACCGCAUGAUUAUGAUUCCUAUCUAGUACACCGGUACCACUGUGGUCAGUGCAUGUAUUGAUCUCGAGGACUAGCUUGUGCCGUUGUGAUACUCUUAUUGAUAUUAUUUUUAACAUGGUUAUCAUCAUUGACCAUUCUUCCCCGCCCUAAUGCCAUCCUUCUCUUGUGAAAUUCAGGUUCUUUGUAUUUUUGAUUAUAUGGUCGUCCUAAGCUUUUCAUAUUGAAGUAGUGGUGAUAAUUUUGUUUUGCUAAUAGGUAAUAAUGUUCUCAUCUGAACAAGUUGUAAUAUGAAUCAUGUGGCCUGUUUGCUCCCUUGCAGGUAGUCCGGCUACCGGCUGAUUCCGGUCUGUGGAGGAAAUGAACCUGAACUGGACCACAGGUCCUGAUCCGGUUCUUGAUGGUUCCAUUUCCGGUUUGAUUCAGGUCUAGUCAGUCCAAUAGUUGAAAUUUUUCUUUUCAUAUAUAUAUAUAGAGAGAGAGA
This 1433-nucleotide unclassified non-coding RNA is filed under the name Hevea brasiliensis (rubber tree). The record is from RNAcentral. Lineage: Eukaryota; Viridiplantae; Streptophyta; Magnoliopsida; Malpighiales; Euphorbiaceae.